AUAUUCUUUAGUAUCUUGAUCCAUUUCAUUACCAAUAUCUUAGAUUACAAUGGCAUAAUUGAAAGGUUCAUAAAAUUACACAAUAAAACGAAAUUUAAAAAAAAAAAUACAAUUAUUAGGUGCCAACACAACAACUAAAUGGCAACUCUAUAUUAUUUUAUCAAAAAGUUUAUUGCAUAGAUUUGUUGCUAAUAAAAGGACUCAUUCUUUCAUGCAUAAGUGUACUCUCUUGGAGCUCAUAUAAUCACAGUCCAAUCACAAAACUAAAUCUACAUUUAUUGUCUUCGCACCUAUAUAUUUUAGUAUAACUGGUUGGACAAUCUUUAACUGUUUUGCAGUCAAUUAAAACUGUAAUAAUAAAACAAAAUAAAAAAUUGUUAUUAAAAUGAGAUAAAAACAAUGUACAACUACAAACUAAAGACAUAAAUUUGAAAAGGAUGAGAAAUCAUAUUACCACCACUGCUCUUUUCAAUAUGAAGUAAGAAAAGAAAUAAAGUCAUAGCAUACAAAAACAUUAUAGUCUUAGACAUAUUUUUUCACUUUUUUCCGUGUAACAAUUAUAAUAUGAUUUGAUCACUUUAUAGUGUGUAAAAUCCAUGUUGUACUUAAAAAAAAAAAAAAUUAGCGUGCUUAAGGAAUUUUAGAAAACCCUCUAUGGAAUUAAAAUAUUUUUUAAAUAUCUUUUAGGUAUAUCAAUGUGUUGUGUUUGUCCCUUUAUAACACUUACUAAUUUUGUAACAUAGAAAACUUUCUAAUCAUUGGAAUUCAUUCAUGUUUAAUUAACCUUUCAACCUUUAAUGACAAAUAUAUAGUAAUUUUAAAAAUAGUAAUAAAGAAGGUUUUUUUCUAGAUUACCCUCUCUUAUUUAGAGGGUAUUUUACCCUCUCAUGAUAUCAACUAAUCAACAUGUAAUAUACAUUGACAACAUUAAAUGUUAUAAAUGAGUCAAUUUUUUCAAAAAAAAAAACCAAUUAUAAUCAUAAGGUAACUUUUAAUACUUUUAAUUUUUAUUUAAUUAUAGACAUGAUUACAUUAGAGAUCCUUUAUCUUAUUUAUUUGUUACAUUUGGGUUCUUUAUCUUUAUUUUUUUCCGCUUAGGUCUUUUAUCUCUUAUAAAAGCACAUAUACAUCCUUUUUCUAAUUUUUUUAUUAAAAAAAUACAUAAUUUUAUUUUUUAAAAUAUCUUUUUUAUUAAAAAUGAAACAAAUUCAGAAAUAUGAUGAAGAUGUUCAUCAUCUUCUUCCUUUGAAUCUUCAUCAUCUUCAUUGAAUCAAAAAAAUUUCUACACAAAUAUAUCUCCAAAUAUCAUGAAUUAAUGUUGUAUCCACCUCAAAUUUUCUUUUAAACACAGAAAUCAAACCCCUAUAGAGAAAGAAAUUUAGUUUCAUCACAAAAAAAAAGCAUUAGUUAUAUAAAUUGUCACGCUGUAUAUUAUUAUUAUUAUUAUUAUUAUUAUUAUUAUUAUUAUUAUUAUUAUUAUUAUUAUUAUUAUUAUUAUUAUUAUUAUUAUUUUCUAAUUCAAUAUUCAAACCCAUCAUAAAAAUAACCCCAAAAUUGAUAGUAGCUUUGCACAUCAAUUUUGUUGUUUCCAGAACAAUCUUAACUUUCGUAAAGCCUAACCCUUCCGCCAGUGACUAAGCCUCCACCAUCCGCUUUGCAACAUUUGUGAAAUUAAGGUUUUGAUUUUUAUGUUUAAAAUAAGAUUUGAGGUGAAUAUAACAUUAAUUCACGAUAUUUGGAGAUAUAUUUUAGUAGAUUUUUUUUUAUUUAUUUAAAGAAGAUGAUGAAGAUUCAAAGGAAGAAGAUGAAGAUGAUGAACAUCUUCAUCAUAUUUUUGGAUUUUUUUUUCAGUUUUAAUAAAAAUAUAUUUUUAAAGAUAAAAUUAUGUAUUUUUUAAUAAAAAAAAUGCGAAAAAGAUGUAUAUGUGCUUUUAAGAGAGAUAAAUGACCUAAACGGAAAAAAAUAAAGACAAAGGACCAAAGUGUUACAAAUAAAUAAGAUAAAUGACCCAUAAUGUAAUAUUGCCUUAAUUAUAUUUAGGUGUUCAAUCUUAAUUAAUUUACACUAGAUGACUGGCUUAGAACAAUUAAAAGUUCACAUCAAAUUUCUUUCAUCUGAAUGUCCUUAAAUUUAUCAGUUAUAUUCAUAAAAUUUUUUUUUUUUUUGGUAGAUAGACGAAAUGGCAAAGCCAUUAUAAACUCACACACACAAGUGGAGGUACCGGGGUUCGAACCCCGGUCAUGGCAUCCGGCCUAACAAUUUCGGCAUUUUGCCAGUUGAGCUAGGACUUCUGGAUUCAUAAAAUUUAUUCCUCCCAUUUUGAUUGUUCAAUUUUGUCGUUCCCAACUGCCGCAUUUUUCAAUUUUCGUGAGAAUCGUCAUAAUUUCAAAUAUCGUGAGAAUUGUUGUUAUUUCCAGUACAACGUCAGGUAUGAUGACUUGAUUUUUCUUUUUGAUUUGAUUUUUCUUGGUUGUGAGGUAGUUAAUUAUAACAAUUCAGUAAGUCAUCCGUUGUACUUUGAGGGCUGCUAGCAGGUGUUGCCGCUGUGAUGUUGUGGGAGUUUGCUAGCAUUUUUUUGGUUGCUGCUGAAAUGGUUAUGUGAUGAGGCUUUUGUUCUUUUAUUUGGACUUAAAAGGCUUUUGCUGAUAGUGAGACAGGUCUAUGCGUGUUAACAGAUUUUAUUAGGUUGGCUGCUUAAAUAAAAAAAAUAAGUCACGAUACCUGACGCGGUUCUAGAAACAACGACAAUUCUCAAGAUAAUUGGAAAUUGCGGCAAUUUGGAACGACAAAAUUGAACAAUCAAAAUGGGAAGAAUAAUGAAAAAGAAACAAAAAUUGAUCAAUAUGGAAGAAUAAAGAAGAAGAAAUUUGAAAGAAGGAGAUGUUUUUGUUCUCACGUUCGAGGUUCUGGAAUGGAAGAAAUUUUAUGAAUGUAAAUGAUGAAUUUAAGGACAUCUAGAUGAAAGAAAUUUGAUGUAAAAUUUUAUUUGUUAUAAGUCUUGUAGUGUAAAUUAAUUAAGAUUGAACACCUUAAUAUAAAAAAAAUAAAAUUAAAUAAAAAUUAAAAGUUACCUUAUGAUUAAGAUUAACUCUCCUUAAAAAAAAUAAAAUUAAGAUUAACUUUUUUAUUUUUAGAAAAAAUCUACUCAUUUAUGACAUUUAAUGUUACCUAUGUAUAUUACAUUUUGAUUGGUUGAUAUUAUGAGAGGGUAAAUUACCCUCUAAACAAGAGAGGGUAACUUAGGCCUCACCAAUAAAGAAUAAUCAUAAUUACAAGAUAGUUAUACACUAAAUGAAUGUAUUCUAGGAUUUUUUUUAUCCAUAACAACAUUUCAUCAACAUGAAUGAGAGUAUACUUCUUUCGUUCCAUCAACAUUUUUUAUGGAUAAAGAUGUGGUUAAUCAUCAAGGUGAAACUUAGAUCUUUUGUUUCCGUUGAGACUUCCAAGAAAAUCAUAUCCUUUGUGAUUCAGUCAUAAAUAUAUUAUUAAAUAAAUAAAAAAUACGUACAUGAGAGGGGGUCAAAAUCGAAACCCUCAAAAAGGCCAUAAAAUUUCAAUUACAUAAAAUCUUUGAUUCAUGUUGAUAUACAAAAUAUAUUAAGACUUUUGUAACCACCCUAAGUUUUUAAUUAAAUAAGCUCCAAAUUGAUCCUUUGUGAAUUUAUAAUUUGAUUUUUCCAUUAAAAAAAGUAUUAUUGGUAUACAAAAUAUAUGAAGACUUUUGCAACCACGAUAAGUUUUUAAUUAAAUAAGAUCCAAAUUGAUCCUUCGUGAAUUUCUAAUUUGAUAUUUCCAUUAAAAAAAAAGUAUUAUUGGUGUACUAAAUAAUGUUGUAAAGAAUAAAGAUUAACUAUUUUUUUUUUUCCAAAGAAUGUUGUGCUGAUUAAAAAAAAAAAACUUGAAAUUCCAUCAUUAUGAGCAAUUGGCCUACAUUUCGACACGUUCACCCAACCAACAAUCAUUUACAUCACCUUAGAAAUAAAUUAAUAAUAUUUAUUUUAAGGUUUGUGUACCAGUUUCAAACUGCGGAAGUUGGUGGUAGAGUGAGAUGGUGGGUGGUAGGCAGUGGCUUACCGGUGCAACAGAUACAUGGUUGGGGGGUUGGAGAUUUUUUCAGAAUUUGUUUUUUGUGUAUCCGUUUCAUUAUAAGCUCUUGAUUUUAUAUUUAGUAAUUAAGACAUAGACACUCUAAUGUUCUUGUGACACUAGAAAACACUCCUUAUUAUAUGCUCUAAAUUUGCUGAAUUCAAUUUGAAUAUUAAAUUAGAAGAAUAAUCAGAUUGAAAAAAACCACUUUCAUGGACAAAUCUACAACUUGUCGAAAAAAAAAAUGGACAAAUCUACAAAGUGAGGGAAAAUGGUGGUUGUGGAACGAUAGGUGAAUAACUUCAAACUCAUGACUGGAAGUUUGUAGUUUAAGAGAGAGAAAGAUUGAUCAGAAAAGUAUGUUAUGCAAAUCGAUUUCAUGUUUCUUAACCAAAAGAGCCGGUUGCAAGUAUCAAGUCUUAAAAAUAGGGUGAUGUGGCUAGCUUGUGGGGCGUGUGUUAAGAGCCAUAUGUAAGAGAGUUUGACACUAGCAUUGCUCUUAUAAAUAUCGCUUAGUUAAGUUUCAAAUGAAUCAACACUACUACAACUCAUUUCCAAUGUUUUGACAGUUAUUAAAGCACAACAUAUGCUUAAACUUUAAUGAACAAAGAUCUAAUGAAAACAUUCUCUCAACGAAUAAACUGCGAGUUAGGAGCAAGGAUAUCAUAAAAGUUUAAAGGAAAUACAGCGCGCAUGCACAAACACACAUGCACGCACGCAUGCACAUAUAUAUAGAGGGGAGUGGGGGCACACAAAUCAAUUAUACUAGUUUCUCACAAACCGAAAGUAGUUCAGCCCCCUUGCACUUUCAAUGGAUUUUCACUAUUUUCACUAUAAACCAUUAUGUACCAACAGCUUCACACCAAGUGUGCAAUUAAUUGUGAGAGGUUCCCAAUUAAUAUACACCUUCAAAGUCGAACCAUCGAGCUUGGUUUUAUGGAAUUCUAAACUGUGGUAACACAAUAUAGGAAAUCGAGCUAAUAUAAGCCCUAAUUUCAAGGAUUUUGAAAAAACAUAUUAUAUACAAAUGAAAAAACAUAUCCCGCAAUUUCAAUAGAUUCGUCAGUCUCAACAUCGACGCUGGUGAUUCUGCCACAUUCCUUAAAGUGGUCCUUCAAACGAUGGAUUGUCUAUAAAUGCAAAUAUCAAUAUAUUAGUAGCAACUUUGGUCGACGUAUCAGUGUCGUGCUGUGUGUAGUCUAAAAAUUAGAGGUAAUUUUACCUUUCACAUGAGAAUCUCGCUAGUGAAAAAUAACGAUGAUACGGUGGGAGGAGAGUUAUAUAUAGUAAAAAAUUAAGAUAAUCAAAAUAAAAAAAAAAUAAUACAAAAGUCUAUUCAAUAUAAGAUAUUGGGGAAACGAUCAUCAAAGUGUCCGUUUAACAUCAGAUACCAAAGCCCGAAGAAAAGAUAAUAGUGAGUAAAGUUACAGAAUCUGCUACUUUACGGAAAGCCUAUAUCACGUAAAAUCAAUGAAGUAAAGUGUUGAAAACAAUCAAAAUCUAAAAUAAUUUGAAAAAUGAACCUUAAAUAACAAAAUAAUGGUUAAAUACCGUAGAGCAUCCACAUCAGAGCUUUCAGCCUAAAAAUUAUGACAAUUUAAGUGAGGUUAAGGAAUUUCAAAGCACCAAACAAAAAGUUGUAAAUGUCUAACGAUACUCACUUCGUUUCAAAAUACAUGUCGUUUUGGAGAAAUUGCACUAACCAAGGACAAGCUAGUUUGAUACAAAGUUCCUAUUAUACCCUUGUGUUUGAUUUCCUCCAUUUUAUUUAUUUACCCAAUCUCAUAAUUACUCUCAAUACCAAAACUAAUUAAAGUCAAUAAAAAAAAUAUGGCAAUACAAAAAAGCAAUAAAAAAUAAUGGUAAUACCAAUACCAAUUAAUUAUUUUUCAACUCCACUUAUCUAAAUGGCAUAAUGCUUCAGUUAUCAAUUUUUUUUAAACUCAAUUGAAAAACUUCCCUCCCUUAGUUAUAUUCUAAUCUUAAAAUGUUUACCACCAAAGUGAAAUUAAAAUUUGUAUCCCACCGUUUUUUUUCAAAAACACUUAUAAUUCCAGUAUAUAUAAGAGUUAGAUUCUCAUUUAUGAAAUUUAUAUAUAAGAGUUAGAUACUAAUUUAUCAAAUUUAUAUUAAUGUAGAACAAAAUUUCGUUGUGGAUCUCAAUGCUUUUCCGCUUGAUUUAAAUGAAGAACCAUUGUUUGAUUUAAAUGAAGAGCCGCUAUUUGAUUUAAAUCAAGAACUACAUGAUUUAAAUGGUGAGGAAGAAAACCUUUCUAGAAACAGUCACACGAUAGAUUUCGAGGGAGAGUCCAUUAGUCAUUUCUUGGGAGAGUGCAUGAAUAAAUCCACUUAAAAUUGGACCAACACAUUAUAUUUAUUAGUGGAAAAUAAUUAUUGUGGAGAAAAUUUAGAAUCCAAUUAAUUGCAAGGCAAGGGUAAAAUAUAUAAAAUGUAUCCUUAAACUAUCAAAAUUGACAUGUACUCCCUCCGUGUCAAAAUAUAAGCAAAAAUUACUUUUUAGGUUCAUUCAUUUAAUGAUGUAUGUGGUCCAUUCAUUCAUUUAAUGAUGUAUGUGGUCCAUAUAUGGACCAUUUAAUGAUGUAUGUGGUCCAUAUAUGGACCACAUACAUCAUUAAAUGAAUGAACCUAAAAAAUAAUUUUUACUUAUAUUUUGACACGGAGGGAGUAUUUUGAAACAAAAAAUUUCUUCCAAAACGACAUGUAUUUUGAAAUGGAGGGAUAUUAAAUUAAAGUCAUUAUUACUUCAUCUGUCUCAGAAUAAGUGAACAUGUUGACUGUUGCACACAUGCAUCUUUGCUCUUGUUUUUUCUUUUUUUUGGUAUAGUAGCCUAAUGACUAGAGCUCACACAAUUAAUUGUGGGGUGUCCGGGGUUCGAACCCCGCCCCUGCAUAAAUUAUGCAAUGUCCCUACCAACUGAACUAAGCUCACGGGGACCACAUCUUUGCUCUUUAAUAUCCUUAAUUAUGAAAUAAACAUUAAUAUAUCAUUCUUUAAAAAAUUACUCUUCAAAAAAUAUGAAAUAUUUUACCAUUUUUCUCUAUAUUUUCACUCUCAUCCAAACCCCCAAACAGAGGAUAAGUGAAUUACUAUCAUGUUUGUUGUUAAAACAUGUUUAGAAAAAAAAAAUCAAUUAUGAUAAAAAUAGUAUAAUAAUAUUCAUAUAUUAAUAAUGUGUUUUACCAAAUUUUUAUCAUCCAGUUGUUUUAGAAAUUUACUUUUUUUUGUCUGCCUUCUGCACUAUUUUUAUCAAAAGCAAGAGAGAGUAUUCAAAUACAAUGAAAAAGCAAAAAAAAUUGGUUAUUUUUCCAUUGUCUGUGUGUUUUUGCUGCAUCCAUUACAUCAAAUCAACUAAGUAAAAAUGUAUAUGGUUCGAUUCAUACAGUACACAUACCAGAUAAUUGACCAUGUUUGUAGCACCCAUGCUUAAGAGGGUCACAUCAUACAAAUUGAGGAAGUAAUGACAGAUCCACAAUUGCAAAAACCAGCUAAAAAUGUUGAUAGAGUCUUCAAACCGAAAGUGAACGAGCACUUCAAUAUAUUAUUGAAGAACUUGUAUGGGUUUAAGAUAAAAUGAAACUCAAUAAUUUGUUAUGUAUUGGAUUCAUGGUUUGAAGAUGAUGAUUUGGCAUCCAUAUUUUGAGGAAAAAUACACACAGCAGGGUAACAAGGACUUUUGUGUUAGUCAUCUAUUUCUUCAACUAAUAACAUAGAUGAAAGUCGAAAUCAUAAAUUUUAGAGGAUAAAAUCAUAACAUUUUUUUAGGGCCCAAUUUAAAAUCAUUAUAUUUUUAGGGACCACACACAUUGGAUGAAUAGAUUUGCACUAAACCCUAAGUUUGAUGAAUGAAGUUCCAUGGUUCAUAUGACGUCGUUUAAGGAAGGCGACCCUUAUGGGUCAUGUAUGGUAGGACAUGCAUUUACAAUUUUAUUAAUUUUUUAUGUCGGUCUUAUAACUUGCAUUUGUAGGUCAAGUCAGUAUUAGUUACCUGUUGUUGCAAGUCAUCAGUAAUAUAAUAAUCACAUGUAACUUUAAAAAUAAUUUGAUGUAUAUAUGUAUGUGGUUUUUCCAAACUACAAAAUUAAUAAUUAACUUUAAUAUUUAACUAUUAAUUGUUUGUUUUUAAGAAAAAAAUAAUAUAAAUUUUUAAGUGUGGGGGCAUUUUGCACAUAAGUGCAAAACUUCAGGGGGAUAUUUGCAAAACGUCAUGUUCACUAACAGAAAAAUUUGACGGAGGGGGUAAAUUGACUAACGUGAAAUUUCAGGGGGGUAAUUGAAGUUUUCUUAAUUUCAGGGGGGUAAUUGAUGAAACUUACAAUUUCAUGGGGGAAAUUGACUAUUUACUCAUUACUUUAUUAAAGACAAAAAUUAAACAUUAUACUCCCUCCGUCCCUCAAUAAAUGACUUAGUUGACAAUAUACAUUAUUAACUUAAUAUACUUUGACCAUAUUUUUCCACUAAUUCACAAAGAUAAAUAAUACUACCUCCGGUCCUAUUUAUAAGAGAAAUUUAGGUCAACAAAAGUGAAUGUAUUUGGACUGAAUUUUUAACUAGAUACAUCAACUUUUGUUGACCAAAAAUUCUCUUAUAAAUAGGACCGGAGGUAGUAUCAUGUAAGAUGUUGGAACCGUCUCGAUGAAUAUUUUUAAAAUAUUAAGUUUUCAUAAUUUUUUUUAAUAGAGAAUUGAAGAUAUUAAAGAUAAAACAUAUGCAUUGGUACGUGUGUCGAAGUCAACUAGAUCAUUUAAUAUGGAACGGAGGGAGUAAUAUACAUUGCUAGUGGGUCAACAUGUCUAAAGAUUUAUGCCAUUGAAAACUUCUUUCCAAAUCCAAUGGCUAAAAAGCAUUUUAGAAACCUAAAAAAAAAAAAAAUGUAGUCACAUACGGUAGGAGACCCAUUGAGGUCUCCAACCGUAGCCUAAGUCUGGUUCAUAUAUCAUAAACAUUCCUUUUAUAAUAAGGGUCAUGUUAACUUGUACCCUUAAGACAUAAGUUAAGGAGCUUAAAAUGAAAUUUAAAAAUAAAUUUUACUGUAUAUUGAAAGUAUAACUUUUGUUACUUUUAAGGCAUUGAAUGCACAAGUUCCAAGAAAAACUUUCUACAUUUUUCUUAUUAACUUAUGCCUCAAAGACACAAGUUAACAUUUUCCUUAUAAAUAAUUAGACUCAAUAGCUUAUAUUUAGGAUAAAGAAAAGAAUCGGUGGACUCCCCGUUAAGCUAAAUUUAAAUUGAAUUGUGUAAAAAUAAUAAAUUUUAUGACAUAAUCUUUAAUUUAUAGUUGAAGUAAUUAACAUAUGUCUUUUCAAUUUAACUAUUAAAAAUAUUCUGAUAAGUGGUGUGGUUGGAAAGAAAAUGUAAUAUACCUAUUUUGGAGGUAAUGGAGAUACAUCCAAAAUUAAGAGAGAGAGAAAAAAAAUAAUUAUAAUAUUCUUUAGUAUCUUGAUCCAUUUCAUUACCAAUAGCAUAAUUGAAAGGUUCAUAAAAUUACACAAUAAAAAGAAAUUUAAAAAAAAUACAAUUAAUUAUUAGGUGCCAACACAACAACUAAAUGGCAACUCUAUAUUAUUUUAUCAAAAAGUUUAUUGCAUAGAUUUGUUGCUAAUAAAAGGACUCAUUCUUUCAUGCAUAAGUGUACUCUCUUGAAGCUCAUAUAAUCAGUCCAAUUACAAAACUAAUCUACAUUUAUUGUCUAUGCACCUAUAUAUUUUAGUAUAACUGGGUGGACAAUCUUUAACUGUUUUGCAGUCAAUUAAAACUGUAAUAAUAAAACAAAAUAAAAAAUUGUUAUUAAAAUGAGAUAAAAACAAUGUACAACUACAAACUAAAGACAUAAAUUUGAAAAGGAUGAGAAAUCAUAUUACCACCACUGCUCUUUUCAAUAUGAAGUAAGAAAAGAAAUAAAGUCAUAGCAUACAAAAACAUUAUAGUCUUAGACAUAUUUUUUCACCUUUUUCCGUGUAACAAUUAUAAUAUGAUUUGAUCACUUUAUAGUGUGUAAAAUCCAUGUUGUAUUUAAAAAAAAAAAAAAAAAAUUUAGCGUGCUUAAGGAAUUUUAGAAAACUCUCUAUGGAAUUAAAAUAUUUUUAAAUGUCUUUUAGGUAUAUCAAUGUGUUGUGUUUGUCCCUUUAUAACACUUAGGGUCUGUUUGGGAAACCCAAAAAAGAGCUUUUAGCUUAUAACUUAUAAGCUCGUUUGAUAAAAAAAGCUCUGUUUGGUAACACUUUUUCACCAUGAGCUUAUAGCUUAUUUCACGAGCUUAUAAGCUAUUUUUCAGAAGCUAUUCCAAGUAGCGUUUGAGCUUAUAGCUUAUAACUUCUCACUUUUUCUUUCAAUUUUACCCUUAUUAUUUCAUUUAAAUUAUAUUUUUAUCCAUUAUAAUUUUUAUAAUAAGCUACGUAAUAAAGACUACUAUCCCUUUAUUCCAAUUUUUUUAUAUAUUGCCUUUUUUUUUUUGAAAAAAUAUAUACCUUCGUUUUUUUUUUUACGAAACAAAAUACUAUUAUUCUAUUAGUGUUUUUUUUUUUUAGGUAAGUGUUAUUUUCUUUAUUCUCUGUUAUUAGUAUUACUCUAUUAGUGCUAACUUUUUUUUUGUUGUUGAGGUAAAUGUUAUUUUCUUUAUAAAGUGGAAACACUUAAAUGAUAAUAAAUAUAAGAUAAAAUUUUAGUGAAUAAAAUUUAAUUUAAUUUAUAAUACAUAGGAUAUAUUAAAUUAAUAAAUUUAAAGUAUUUUUUUAAAGAAAAAUUAGUUUAAAAAAUUACAAAUACUUAAAUUAAUGAUAUAAUUUUUAUUAUGAAUUAAUAAUACCAUUUAUGUCAUUUUACAUUUAUCAGCUAGUUGAACCGCUAUUUUUACCAAACACUUCAGUUAGCUUAUCAGCUAAAAAUUAUCUGCUAGCUUAUCAGCUAUAAGUUACCAGCUAGCUUAUCAGCUAAAAGCUAUCAGCUAGCUUAUCAGCUAUCCGUUAUUUUUACUAAACAAGCCUUACUAAUUUUGUAACAUAGAAAACUUUCUAAUCAUUGGAAUUCAUUCAUGUUUAAUUAACCUUUCAACCUUUAAUGACAAACAUAUAGUAAUUUUAAAAAUUAGUAAUAAAGAAUAAUCAUAAUUACAAGAUAGUUAUACACUGAAUGAAUGUACUGUAGAUUUUUUAAUCUAUAAAAACAUUUCAUCAACAUGAACGAGAGUAUACUUUUUUUGUUCCAUCAACAUUUUUUAUGGAUAAAGAUGUGGUUAAUCAUCAAGGUGAAACCUAUACCUUUUGUUUUUGUUGAGACUUCCAAGAAACUCAUAUCCUUUGUGAUCCAAUCAUAAAAAUAUUAUCAAAUAAAUAAAAAUAUGUACAAGAGAUGGGGUCAAAAUCAAAACCCUCAAAAAGGCCAUAAAAUUUCAAUUACAUAAAAUCUUUGAUUCAUGUUGAUAUACGAAAUAUAUUAAGACUUUUGCAACCUCCCUAAGUUUUUAAUUAAAUAAGCUCCAAAUUGAUCCUUUGUGAAUUUAUAAUUUAAUUUUUCCAUUAAAAAAAGUAUUAUUGGUAUACAAAAUAUAUGAAGACUUUUGCAACCACGCUAAGUUUUUAAUUAAAUAAGAUCCAAAUUGAUCCUUCCUGCAUUUCUAAUUUGGUAUUUCCAUUAAAAAAAGUAUUAUUGGUGUACUAAAUAAUGUUGUAAAGAUUAACUAUUUUUUUUUCUCCAAAGAAUGUUGUGCUGAUUAAAAAAAAAUAACUUAAAAAAAAAACUUAAAAUUCCAUCAUUAUGAGCAAUGGCCUACAUUUCGACACGUUCGUUCACCCAACCAACAAUCAUUUGCAUCACCUGAGAAAUAAAUUAAUAAUAUUUAUUUUAAGGUUUGUGUACCAGUUUCAUACUGCGGAAGUUGGCGGUAGAGUGAGAUGGUGGGUGGUCGGCGGUGGCUUAUCGGUGCGACAGAUAAAUGGUUGGGGGGUUGGAGAUUUUUUUCAGAAUUUGUUUUUUGUGUAUCCGUUUGAUUUUAUAUUUUGUAAUUAAGACAUAGACACUCUAAUGUUCUUGUGACACUAGACAACACUCCUUAUUAUAUGCUCUAAAUUUGCUGAAUUCAAUUUGAAUAUUAAAUUAGAAGAAUAAUCAGAUUGAAAAAAACCACUUUCAUGUACAAAUCUACAAAGUGAGGAAAAAUGGUGGUUGUGGAACGAUAGGUGAAUAGCUUCAAACUCGUGAAAGGAAGUUUGUAGUUUAAGAGAGAGAAAGAUUGAUCCAAAAAAUAUGUUAUGCAAAUCGAUUUCAUGUUUCUUAACCAAAAGAGCCGGUUGCAAGUAUCAAGUCUUAAAAAUAGGGUGAUGUGGCUAGCUUGUGGGGCGUGUGUUAAGAGGCGUAUGUAAGAGAGUUUGACACUAGCAUUGCUCUUAUAAAUAUCGCUUAGUUAAGUUUCAAA
Molecule: long non-coding RNA, 12515 nt
Filed under: Medicago truncatula (barrel medic)
Lineage: Eukaryota; Viridiplantae; Streptophyta; Magnoliopsida; Fabales; Fabaceae
Description: lncRNA gene13548
Source: RNAcentral